This 253-nucleotide ribosomal RNA is filed under the name uncultured bacterium. Its description in RNAcentral is "partial 16S ribosomal RNA". It matches the Rfam family "Bacterial small subunit ribosomal RNA", at positions 524 to 776 of the family's 1533-position model. The record is from RNAcentral.
UACGUAGGGCGCAAGCGUUAUCCGGAAUUAUUGGGCGUAAAGAGCUCGUAGGCGGUUUGUCGCGUCUGCCGUGAAAGUCCGGGGCUCAACUCCGGAUCUGCGGUGGGUACGGGCAGACUAGAGUGAUGUAGGGGAGACUGGAAUUCCUGGUGUAGCGGUGAAAUGCGCAGAUAUCAGGAGGAACACCGGUGGCGAAGGCGGCUUUCUGGGCCUUACCUGACGCUGAGGAGCGAAAGCUGGGGGAGCGAACAGG